UCCAUGUUGUUCCAACAUAGCAGUAAUCUGAAACAAUAGGGGUAAAUUAAUUAAUUACACUUUGCACUUGAUCUUGCACUUUAACAAAAAUCUCACGUUAAAUAAAAUGUUAACGUGACCCUUUUAUUCAUCUGAUGUUCAAUUGAAGGAAAGAGGUUGCGUAACGUAAAGUCUAAGCCCCACUUUGGUACUUGAAGUAAAAUGCAAGGAGUUGGCUGAUAUACAAUUGAAAGUAAGGAGUAAAAAAUUUUUUUUUUUUGUAAAACUAAAGAGGUGCAAAGUGUAAUUUAGCCGAAACAAUAUUGGAAUUUUAGAGAGUUGCGGUCUUGUUCUGGGCUAUGAAGUCCAAAAUUUGGUUGUAGCCCAUUGACCCAUCACCCGAACAAACCGGUCCCAUGAGGCCGUGGUUAUUAGCAGUCACCAGCCGGCAGCCGCCACGCAUACCCGUAAAAUGGCAUCCCCCAGUACCUGUUGGGGAUUUUAUUGUACAUUAUAAAUAAAAAAAAAAGAAAAUAAAGUCAUGAAUAUUAAUAAAUAAAAAAUAAAAAAAACCCUGUGAGGAUGGGUUAUCAUGGGUGAAAUUUUAGAUGAUUAAUCUAUUUAAAUUUAUUUAGCCAUUUUUUUACUAUCAGAGGUGACCCAUUAGGAAGUUUUAAUAGGAUUGGUGACACACUGGGCAGUUUUAUAAGGAUGAGUGGCCCAGUAGAAAAUGUCAUUAGGAUGCGUGACCAAUUGAAAACUUUAACAAGGAUGAGUACUGCAUUAAAAAAAUCAUAUUGAUCAAAUAUAC
Molecule: long non-coding RNA, 790 nt
Filed under: Actinidia chinensis (golden kiwifruit)
Lineage: Eukaryota; Viridiplantae; Streptophyta; Magnoliopsida; Ericales; Actinidiaceae
Description: long non-coding RNA (ACHI_LNC006523)
Source: RNAcentral